ACGGACGAGAAGCUUGCUUCUCUGAUGUUAGCGGCGGACGGGUGAGUAACACGUGGAUAACCUACCUAUAAGACUGGGAUAACUUCGGGAAACCGGAGCUAAUACCGGAUAAUAUUUUGAACCGCAUGGUUCAAAAGUGAAAGACGGUCUUGCUGUCACUUAUAGAUGGAUCCGCGCUGCAUUAGCUAGUUGGUAAGGUAACGGCUUACCAAGGCAACGAUGCAUAGCCGACCUGAGAGGGUGAUCGGCCACACUGGAACUGAGACACGGUCCAGACUCCUACGGGAGGCAGCAGUAGGGAAUCUUCCGCAAUGGGCGAAAGCCUGACGGAGCAACGCCGCGUGAGUGAUGAAGGUCUUCGGAUCGUAAAACUCUGUUAUUAGGGAAGAACAUAUGUGUAAGUAACUGUGCACAUCUUGACGGUACCUAAUCAGAAAGCCACGGCUAACUACGUGCCAGCAGCCGCGGUAAUACGUAGGUGGCAAGCGUUAUCCGGAAUUAUUGGGCGUAAAGCGCGCGUAGGCGGUUUUUUAAGUCUGAUGUGAAAGCCCACGGCUCAACCGUGGAGGGUCAUUGGAAACUGGAAAACUUGAGUGCAGAAGAGGAAAGUGGAAUUCCAUGUGUAGCGGUGAAAUGCGCAUGUAGAUAUGGAGGAACACCAGUGGCGAAGGCGACUUUCUGGUCUGUAACUGACGCUGAUGUGCGAAAGCGUGGGGAUCAUACAGGAUUAGAUACCCUGGUAGUCCACGCCGUAAACGAUGAGUGCUAAGUGUUAGGGGGUUUCCGCCCCUUUAGUGCUUGCUAGCUAACGCAUUGAAGCACUCCGCCUGGGGAUACGAC
This 840-nucleotide ribosomal RNA is filed under the name uncultured Staphylococcus sp. Its description in RNAcentral is "bacterial SSU rRNA". It matches the Rfam family "Bacterial small subunit ribosomal RNA", at positions 69 to 886 of the family's 1533-position model. The record is from RNAcentral. Lineage: Bacteria; Bacillati; Bacillota; Bacilli; Caryophanales; Staphylococcaceae.